Phalacrocorax carbo (great cormorant) is the source of this 862-nucleotide non-coding RNA. The record is from RefSeq and is a predicted model, not a curated record. NCBI's taxonomy places the organism in Eukaryota, Metazoa, Chordata, Aves, Suliformes, Phalacrocoracidae.
UUCCUGCUGCAGGUGUCUGACAACGUGGAGGGAGAUAUAACCAUGGUAACUGUGAUUAUUACGGAAAAUUGCUGCCAUUACUACAGAGGUUACCGCAUCUGCACUUGGCUUUGGUGCUGGCUGUUCCCACGGCAACGGAACAUGCUCUGGAUUUGCCUUGACCCAUUCUGAGCGAGACACCCCCCGAAAGCAAGCCUGCCCUCUGAGGGGUCCCCACCUCGCUGACGCUGCCGUUUCCUGGGCACGGCGUGCUGGAGAUCACCGGGACCCGUGCCAGCUGCAGCAGUGUGGGGCGGCCGCUGCCCGGGCCACGCACCCCAGCCCGGCGCGCAGCGACAGCAGAGCAACCGCCUGUGUGCAUCUCGGAGCUGAGACCCUAUAAAUGACAAACAGAGCUUCUAGUCCCCGGGAGGUCAUCCUUGCGUGAUGCCUUAUAACUAGAAAUUACAGCCCUGACCCAGCAUUUAAAUAAGUGCGCAGUGGUAUUGAUAUACGUGAUCUUAAUGGCAAGGAGAAUGAUCAGGGCCCUGGGGCAGAAAACCUCUGGCAAAAUGAGACCAAGAACUCUAGGACUGCUAGAUUAGAGAGACAAUUAAGAGGGCAAAUAACAAAAGUGAAAAAAAUUAAAAACUAGAACUAGAGAACUGAGAUAAGGAUCUCAAGGAAUGGGGCUGUACUUUUCUCAGACGAGCUAUUUGUUUAAUUACCUCAUAAGUGAAGACGAAAGUAUCUGUACUGAAGCCACUUGGACUAAAGACUGAAGCAGGAUAGGCAUGUGUAAGGGAGUGGGUAUACGUGAUUACAUACUCUUUACAGGCUACUCAAGAAUUAUGUGUAAAUAAAAGGUUUUCUAAGAUAAUUA